This 467-nucleotide ribosomal RNA is filed under the name uncultured bacterium. RNAcentral's name for it is "partial 16S ribosomal RNA". It matches the Rfam family "Bacterial small subunit ribosomal RNA", at positions 28 to 507 of the family's 1533-position model. The record is from RNAcentral.
GACGAACGCUGGCGGCGUGCUUAACACAUGCAAGUCGAACGGAAAGGCCCUGCUUUUGUGGGUGCUCGGGUGGCGGGCGGGUGAGUAACACGGGAGUAACCUGCCCUUUACUUUGGGAUAACUUCAAGAAACUGGGGCUAAUACCGGGUAAGAGCUCCUGCUUCAUGGUGGGGGGUGGGAAGUUUCGGCGGUUGGGGAUGGACUCGCGGCUUAUCAGCUUGUUGGUGGGGUAGUGGCUUACCAAGGCUUUGACGGGUAGCCGGCCUGAGAGGGUGACCGGCCACAUUGGGACUGAGAUACGGCCCAGACUCCUACGGGAGGCAGCAGUGGGGAAUAUUGCACAAUGGGCGGAAGCCUGAUGCAGCAACGCCGCGUGCGGGAUGACGGCCUUCGGGUUGUAAACCGCUUUCGCCUGUGACGAAGCGUGAGUGACGGUAAUGGGUAAAGAAGCACCGGCUAACUACGUG